RNAcentral lists this non-coding RNA (28 nucleotides) under Mus musculus (house mouse). Lineage: Eukaryota; Metazoa; Chordata; Mammalia; Rodentia; Muridae. The record is from RNAcentral.
UGCCAAUGCAUCAAGGUAAGACCCUGUA